AUGAACGCCUUGCUCAAGCCUAUAAGAGGGGUUCCCAUCUACCACCACCACCCCUCCUUCCAGCAGCUCCAGCACCAGCACAUGGCCAUGGCCUACCGGAGCAGCGGCGGCGGCUUCUUGUCGUCGAGGUCGAGGUUCCUGCCCGGGCGGCGGAGCGUGAGGGCUCUGAGGAUGCGGUGGACGACCACGCUGCACGCGCGAUUCGUGCACGCCGUCGAGCUCCUAGGGGGGCAUGAGAAAUUACCGGCGAUGCACGUUCAGUGGGAGGAGAUGUUUCCGUCGACUACAAGAUGCCUAUGGUGA
Molecule: ribosomal RNA, 303 nt
Filed under: Triticum aestivum (bread wheat)
Lineage: Eukaryota; Viridiplantae; Streptophyta; Magnoliopsida; Poales; Poaceae
Description: partial small subunit ribosomal RNA
Source: RNAcentral